CCCGGUCAUCUUCGCGCUGCAGGAGUCGCCGGAGCUGAGGGAGAUCAUCGACUCGGAGUUCUGCGACACGGGCUCGCUGUCGGCUGCCAUGGAGCUGGUACAUAAAAGCGGCGGGAUACGGCGGGCGCAGGAGCUGGCCAAGGAGAAGGGCGACCUGGCGCUGCAGAACCUGCAGUGCCUCCCCAGGAGCCAUUUCAGGACCGCCCUUGAGAACAUGGUGAAGUACAACCUUGAGAGGAUCGACUAGAGGAUGGACGGAUCAUUCAGCUGGCCUGUCUGAAGAUGAGGUGCGCCUGCAGGUGGGCCCGGGUUAGCUUGUACUGAAACCCUGCUUGCCAGUAUCAUGUCGAUUUCUCGGAGAUGGUCGGUGCGACAAGGUCACCAAAAACGCCGUCUAUUUUUUUGCAUAUCGUGUAAGUGCAAGGUAAAUAUAUCCACUGUAUAUGCGAAAGAUGGAGCUGUUCUUUUAAUUAGUAGUAUAACAUAAGAUAGCAGUAGUUAUUCUUUUUCUUCCGGUGAAAAGGAAAAACAUGUAAUUCCGUUUAUUUACAGUCGGAAGUAUGAACAUGAGUUAACAUGCCCUGUAAAACCUAGCGUGCGCUAUUCUGGACCGCUGAGACGUGUGUUCGUAUUUUUCUGCUUUGAAAUCAUCUGAUGAGAAUUUACAUACCUAAUGCAUUUCUGAUCGCUCGAUGGAGAGGCCGAGGGUUUGUAUGAACAUCGUUUUCCACGGAAAAGGUGACAAUGAAGAAGAAGAAACGAAUUCUAUAUGAUGACCUCGCAAUUUGCAACCAGAUUGAAAUACUCAAGUAUAUUUCUUAAAUAAAAAUUAAAAGGAAUUUUUCUUGCUUCAAUAUUUGGUUGCCCGAAAGGCAAAUCUUUAUCUCUUUACAUCGAGUAUGAACAUGAGUUAACAUGAGCCGUGAAACCUUUUUUUUUUGCGAGGGACCUAGUGUGCGCUAUUUAUGGACCGCUAACAUGUCCGGUGUUCAUAUUUUUCUGCUGAGAGUUUACAUACGUAGUGCAUUUCUGACCGCUCGAUACAGAGGCCGAGGGUUUGUAGAACAUCGUUUUCCACGGAAAAGAGGAUGAUGAAGAAGAAAACAAAUUCUAUAUGAUGACCAUGCAACUAGACUGAAAAAUUGAAGUAUAGUUCUUAAAUAAAAAUCAAAAGGAAAACUUCUUUCUUCCAAUUUGUCUUUGCCCGAAAGGCAACUUUUUAUUAUCUCUUUACACUCGUGUGGUUCAGAAGUGAAGUAGUGGUAGAUGCCGGACGGACGGGCGGUUGGGUCGGAUGGAUCCAGCUGAGCGUAAACGAACGGACAUGGCGCACGUUAUCGUCGGUGGCCGCACCUUCUCCUUCCUUUCCGCUUCUUCCAAUAAUUAAAUGCUCUUUUAUUUUUAUUUUUAUAUUACAAAAUAAAAUACAGCAACAAGUGGCCAGUGAUGCUCACUUUUUUUGCCUCACAAAACAAAGCAAGACAAAGGAAAAAUACUCGUGAAUGUUAGGAUAGGAUACUCCCGUUCCAAGUAGGCGUAUUCUAUUACUACUACUCCUUCUCAUUGCUUCUCCGUCGGUGGCGCCCAAUUAACCAGUUAAUUAAUCGGUUGAUUAACCACCGGUACGAGUCGCCGACGACGGACGGACGGACGGACGGACGGCGAGGUCGAUCCGUCUAAACGGCCGGUUCUUAAUGACGAGAUCGACGGAGAUGCAAACGCCGCUCGCCGUCGCUUUACUACUUCCAUCUAGCCGCACCGCGAUCAAAACACUUUGUUUUUUUUCUAAAAAAAACUUUUGAUCUAUUCAUCUCGAAUUGUGGCAGUACGACAAAUAAAAAAAAACAUUCAUAUCCAUAAGGCACGUAGCGACGACUACAACCAUUGAAGCGACCCUCCAUCGUUGUGAUGUACAUGGAUAAUGGCAUGAGGAGGUAAAAUUGAUGCAACUACUGCUGCUAUCCAUUCAUUUAGAUUCUCCUAACGCGUGGAGCUGUCAUAUUGUACGUACAAUGUUGGAGAAUCAUUGGGGAGGAGGGACUGGGCUGGGUUGGGUAGUAGAAUUAUUAUCAGUAGAUGGAUUCAUUCAUCUCCUCCACGUGACGGUGCAGGCAGAUGAACGUGAUGGUGUUCUUUUAUUUACACGUUACACACUACGGAAGGAAGGAAGGAAGGCAGAUGGUACGUACCGUCUGAUCGGAUCGUGAAGGUUAAGUCAAAGCCGCAUGUGUGUUGUGUGUGUGCCUUUCAAGGCACGGACGGGUUAUUUUAGCUGGCGUUUCAAUUCCGUCACGGACGCCCGCCCGCCACCUAAUUUCUGCAACUGCACCGACGAGAGAGAGAGAGAGAGAAAGAUGGUGAGCGAGCGCCCGUCACAUGAGACCUACCCCAAACCUACUUCAGCAACUCUGGCUUGCUCAUUUUCUUGUUCCUUUUUUGAAAAAUGAUGUAUGUUAACUAAUAAUGUAAAACAUUCCACUACAAUCAUUACUAUCACACGCGGGCAGGCCUUUUUUUUAGCAUAUACAAAUUUGAAACCCGUAGGGUAGUACCCUCGACCCCUCCUCGAUUCAACUGAAUGAACCAGGUUUUCAGAAUUUCCGGCCCAAAUUGAAUGUUUAGUUCAUCUAAAUUGAACUAAGGUGGUCAGAGGGUUAUCUUGCAACCGUCGCUAGGUGGUCUACGAAUCUAGAUGUAAGUUUUUUUAUUUCUGGUGUUCGCUGUGCUGCCAUGAUUGAAGAUGAAUAGAUCGAAAGUUUCCUGGAAAAAAAACCCUAAGGAGGCCAGAGGGUUACCCCUGAAGGUUCCAAAUUUGCAUCCCUAGGCUUCGUCAUGCAGGAGGGGUACUGCAUCGUGUUACGCUACUCGUGCGUCGAGCUGCAUGAUCUAGCUAGGCCAUCGGCUGCUUCACUAGCGCCAUGGGGGACCUCCCGAGUUCUCUCUGGAGUUUGGAAGUCGCUGAAGCAACAACCGGGUGGUACAUGUACAUGCAACAUCGAACGGUGACUUAGUCAUUCAAAGUGUAUGACGAAUGGAACUGACAAAUGCCAACCGGCCGAUUUAGGGGAAGGAUGGACGAGAUGACAAGGCGUGGACACAAGGUAGGCUCGUCAAGAUCUGCGUAUUUACCCCCUCACAUUUGUUGUAUGAAGCGUGUGUGAUCAGAGGGUGCGUGCUCGCGGUGAUGAGCACAUGCAUGUAUGAUUUUCCUUAUACUCGAAGAUCGCUAUGCGACCUAGAUUAUGUAUGCCCCAAGAGCACGCAUGGGCCAGGAAUCUUUUGCAAGGGGGCCUAUAGUAGAAGAGGUAAAAGGUUGAAGGGAGCCAAGCAUGUAGAUUUAUACCAUUUUGUGCGAACAAUAUAGAGUUCUUUCUAGGAAAGCAAUUUAUAUGGGGGGAGCCAUGGCCCCGACCCACCCACCACUGGCUCUGUCGCUGCUCGAGAGAGCAAUUGAACUGUGAAGUGCUAUACCACUGAUCGGAAAAAAUGUUGGACCCCCUAAGGAGGUAGAAGCGGGGCUUCGAUAUCGCCAAGAGCCAAGCAGAUAGAUAUCCAAUGCUAUUGUUAUUCACGAUUGCCAACGCGAAGCUCCAACCAUUGCAAGGCUUUAGGCAUUUAUUUCCAAGGUUCCAAUCUUUGUUAUGAAUAGAGAAUCUAAUAGAAUGUCUCGUAAAUCUGCAGCAUUACAACAGAGUGUAACAGAGUGCACAUAACGAUACGACGGACAAUGCAACCCCCGCUAAACGACCGUAACUGAUUCUAUGUUUUCCAUAUAGCCCUCUGGUUGGUGAAACUCCUGUGAUACCUUUCACUAGUCUUCUAUUCUUAUAACUUGCUAAUAAUAUUAUUAUGUAAAGUUUUAUCCCCUCGGUUGAUUUAAAACUCAGACCACCGGUAGAUGAGCGGUGGAUAAAGCAGAGAUGCGGAUCGGACGGCGCAGAGGAGUCCAACGAGCACCGCACCGCACCGGCAGCCGCAGGCCGCAGCCCAUGGCAUGUGGCCCAGACGCAACGCAUCUCCUCUCCCUCUCUCUCCCGAUUAAAACCAACAAACAACAACGGCAAGUCGGCAGACAUUCACAAAGAAGAGAAAGAAAUCUACCUCCCCCCUCCCCUCCCCGACUCCGGCAUCCCGCUCCCCUCCCUUCCCGUCUCCGGCGCGCCGCCAGAUCGGGCCAGAAGAGUCCGUCCGGCACCCAUCCCUCGCUCCCCGCCGGCACCUUGGGCCCGGCAUCGGCCGCCGCGGCGCGUCAGUUUGGCGGGCGGCUCGGCCGACCGGGAGGCGGGCGGUCCGGCGCCGCGGGAGGGCAGGGGUCCGGUUUCCGGUCUCCGGAGCGGCCUUGGAGCGCAGAUCGGCCCGCCCGGCAAGCGGCAAUGCAGCAGGCGCAGCGGAGCAAGGUGGGUUCCGACUUCCGAGCCGUCCCUCCCCCUCCCCCCUCCUCCUCAUGCGUCUAGUAUGAGCAAGAUGAUUUGCGCCUCUUCUUGCGGCGUCGAUGCCCGCUGCCCGUCUCGGUUCCAUCCAGGACGAAGCCGGCGACCCAGCGUUUUCUGAAUCCUCGCUGCCCUGCCCUGUUUUCAAAUUCAUUCAAACCUCUUUGACAGAUUCUUGGCUACUUUUGUUGCUUUUUCGGCGCCGGCAACCCUUCCUGCCGCCGAAAUCUCUGAUCUGCUGUUUCCGUCAGUAAAAGUUAGCAGUCAAAUGCCGUCGGUUCCAAUCCAAUACGGCAGCACCGCGUGAUGAGCUGCAGACAGCCCGCGCCUCACAUGGCAAAGUUGACCGCCUCCUCGCCGCUUCCUGAAUCCAGAUGCCAAACGCUAGACGAAGUCCGCAAGAUGCCCCUUUUCCCCUGCCUGCCCGUCGGUGGCGCGCAAAGCUUGUACUACAUUUUAAUCCUUGUUGGAGUCCUCGCAGAUGCCCGCCAGCAACAGCAAGCAACCGGCGUUCAGUGGCACAAAAAGUUUUAAACUGUUUGAUUGCUUGCCGGUGCUGUGGCUUUUCUCAAUGGCUGGUUCCGUUGCAAUGUGGCCACUCCAAAUCCCUGUCGGUCUCCAAUGAUUCCUCCAACCCCCACCACAGCAAUCAUUGUGCCGUCUCAGCUCCCCGGAUCAACCGUUUAAAGUUCUCUCUGUUUUAGCAGCUGGGUGUUGAGCGCUUGCUGAUUCAUUCAGUGUGUGCAAUCCAUGUUUUGCAGGGUUCGGCGGAGGCGGACUUCUUCACUGAGUACGGCGACGCCAACCGGUACAAGAUCCAGGAGGUCAUCGGCAAGGGGAGCUACGGGGUUGUGUGCUCCGCCCUUGAUCUGCAGACCAGGCAGAAAGUGGCCAUCAAGAAGAUACACAAUAUCUUCGAGCAUACCUCCGACGCCGCGCGGAUCCUCCGUGAGAUCAAGCUUCUGAGGCUCCUACGGCAUCCCGACGUCGUCGAGAUCAAGCACAUUAUGCUGCCUCCCUCCAGAAAGGACUUCAAGGACAUCUACGUUGUUUUUGAGCUCAUGGAGUCUGAUCUCCACCAAGUUAUUAAGGCCAACGAUGACUUGACGAAAGAGCACUACCAGUUCUUUCUCUACCAGCUACUCCGAGCCCUCAAAUACAUUCAUACUGGUGAGAAAUCGUUACCUUCAAGUCUACUGUUGUUGCUUAGAAAACAAUGUUUUACCCUGAAGGUGGUGUGUGUUUUAGUUUACAAUCAUGUGUAGUAGGUCAGAUCCUCUUUUCAUCUCUUUUUCACUUGCCUAUCAAACACUCCCCCCCAGAGGCUUGCUCUUCAAUAUUAAAAAGUCCAAUGAUGGGUCAGUUAUGGUUUCCUCAGUGUGCAGAACUAGAUAAUAUACACUGCGGUUUAGUCAACAGAUCCUCAGUAACAGUUGAUUCUUUAAGUGCCAAAGUGUGACUUGCUUCGCGUGUAGUCAACCAAGUUAACAACAGGGUUUAUCAUUUGAUAUUAAAUCCUGUGUAUUAUCAUCUCUCAACCUUCAGUUGCAUCUUUCUCCGUUUGCUUUGUGCUACACAUUACUACUUCACUAUUAUUAAGAUAUGUAUCAUCCUUUAUCAGCAUUUUUAAAAUAUGACCAUAUUAAAUCCAUUCAUAUAUUAGCCUGCAUUCUCUGAAUUUCUUGAAUUGUUUUUUUUCCCUUUGAGGCCGUAGAUCAUCCCGUAGCUAAAACAAUGACAAUAAUUAUGAAACGGAGGGAGUAGCAGUCAAGAUAAGUACCAGACCAUUAUCUGAUGCAACCUUUGUUCACCUCUUCAAAUGAAUUAUUUUUGGUGUUUUGUUCAUUAUUUAUCCCUUUUAUAUUGUAGGCGCUCUAGCCAAGACUCUGUAAUUUGAUUGCUCGUUGGAAAUCUUUUCCACUUACUUGCCAUCAAAAAGCUUGUCAUGGUGUUGAAUUGACACUACCAGAAAUUGCACCCCAAUGUUUUUCAGUGAUACACUGUAGAAAACGUUACUUGAUUGCGUAUUCUAUUUUUAUUACCACUUUUUUUUUGCUGAUAAGGAGUUCAUAUGACUGCAGCUAGUGUUUACCAUCGUGACCUGAAGCCCAAGAAUAUUUUGGCAAAUUCUAACUGCAAACUGAAGAUAUGUGAUUUUGGACUAGCACGAGUUGCAUUCAACGAUACCCCAACAACUGUCUUCUGGACGGUAUGUUAGUACAAACUCAAUUUAUGUUUUUUAUAGCAGAUUUUUGAUGAAGUAUCAUAAUUUAUAGAUAUUAUGCAUAAUCCCUGCAGGAUUAUGUCGCGACAAGAUGGUAUAGAGCUCCAGAGCUCUGCGGAUCCUUCUUCACAAAGGUGAGGUUUAGAGUUCAUGGCUUUGUGCUUAUUAAAAAAUGAAGAAAAGAACUAGGUUCUUAAUCUGUUGACAGGCUUAUAGUGUAACAAAGAAGAUGCUUACAAUUGUUCUAGCAUGAGUUGAUUGAACUGUGAGCUGUAACAGGCAAAUGUUUAUGGUGAAAAUUAAAAUGCACUAUGUACCUGUUCAUCCUAUGUUUUAUAGUUAUGGUUUCUCCAUCUAUAGUAUAGAUUAGAUCUGUUCACUGUCAUUUCUAUCCUUUUGUAUUUUAUGGCCUAAUUUCAUUCAUGAAUUGAUCUUAACAUUUGUUCAUCCUAUGUUCUACACGAAUACUUGAUCACUUUCCUCUUGAAUAGUAACUUUGACUACAUGUGAAUUUCUCUUACUUCCAAGAACAGUAAAAGCAUCUUCCGUAAUUUCCAGGAUUUUGAUCACAUGCAUGUUCUUAAUCUAUUUUGGAUUUUUGUUUCACCCCAAAAUGCAGUAUACACCUGCCAUUGACAUUUGGAGCAUUGGGUGCAUUUUCGCUGAGGUGCUGACAGGAAAGCCUUUGUUUCCUGGUAAAAAUGUUGUCCAUCAGUUAGACUUAAUGACUGAUCUCCUAGGGACACCUUCAAUGGAUACAAUUUCUCGGGUACGCUACUAAAUUCAGGGGAAGAAUAUAUAUUUAGUUGAUCUGGUAAGCGUAAUCAGCGAGCCCAACGUUUGACUCUAUUAUUUUUGUUUUUUCCUAGGUCCGAAAUGAGAAAGCAAGAAGGUACUUGAGCAGUAUGAGAAAGAAAGACCCGGUCCCAUUUUCUCAGAAGUUUCCUAAUGCAGAUCCUUUGGGAGUUAAACUCUUGGAGAAGCUAUUAGCCUUUGAUCCAAAAGACCGUCCAACUGCGGAAGAGGUAGUCUUAUGGUGCUAUUUUGUCUUUCUGAUGCCUUGGUUUCUUCUCUCUGUUUGCAGCAUUAGUUUGUUAUAUAUUUAUAUGGAGUAAGUUGUAAUGUUUCCUUCAAUGUUUGUAUUUUGUUAGGCAUUGACUGAUCCAUACUUUAGAGGCCUUUCCAAGCCAGAGAGAGAACCAUCCUGUCAGCCAAUCAGAAAAAUGGAGUUUGACUUUGAGCACAGCAGAGUGUCAAAGGAUGAUAUAAGGGAGCUGAUAUUCCAGGAGAUAUUGGAAUAUCAUCCGCAAUUGCUGAAGAGCUACACUGAUGGCACAGAGAGGACAACCUUUCUCUACCCAAGGUUUUAGUUUUUCUAUGUUUCUAUUCCGUCAUUUCUGUUCAUUGUGUCAACUCUUACUGACAGCAAUAUUCCGCGGUUAUGUUUGUCAGUGCUGUCGAUCAUUUCAAGAAGCAGUUCUCUCAUCUUGAAGAAAGCGAUGGCAGCGGCCCUGUAGUCCCAGCAGAUAGAAAACAUGCAUCUCUUCCUAGGUAAUGUUGCAUCGUACUCUUUUCUUUUGUUCAUUUCUUUUCCUUCCAUAUCACUGGCACAUAAUGCUAAUGGCUCACUUUGAAGUGCACUGCUCCUUUGCUUCAUAUUAAGAUGGAUUGAGUUUCAAAUAAUGGGAUAAUUAUCAUGUUAUGAAUUUGGUUAGAUUUGAUUUUAUCUGGAUAGUGAACUGGGCUAUAUAAACUUGAGAGUGAAGUGACUGGGAUCUACGUGAUCACAGGAGUUCAAAGAUCUACUACUGUAAUCUAUUUUAAACUUGAGAGUGAAGUGACUGGGAACUUAAUACCCGGUUUUCUCAUCAGAGUUGGGGUUACAAUUGAUAUAUGUAGGUUAUCAGAUCAGAUUGUUAGGUCCUGUGCGAUACUUUAUCAUCACUUUGUUAGUCGAGGUUCUGUUUGAAAUCUAAGUGAUGGCUUAAUCAGUAUGUGUUCAGAAUGUUGAUACUCGAGACCCACUUAAUAAUUUGGUUGCUUUUUUGCCACUCAGUUAGCACACCUGUAUGCCUUUCAUCACUAUAUGUUUUAAUAUUAGUAAGGUAAGCCUGUGUUAUUGCUGAUAAGCAUCUUUGUUUUUGCAGGUCCACUAUUGUUCACUCGACUCCAAUUCCCGCGAAGGACACUCGGCCGCUCUUUGGCAAGCCUUGCAACAAAACUUCCUCGGAGACAGGGAGGUAUGCUGGGAAUGGUCACGGUGCUUCUCAGGCUUCACACGCGGCACAAGCAGGUACGCCCUCGUCCAUUUUUUUAUACAUGUUUUGUUGUCAUUUACUUGAAGCAUAAUGUCUCCCAUUUCUAAGACUAUUUCUUAUUAUGCAGUGAUUUCGCGGAGAGCUGCCGGUUCAGCGUUACCUUAUGACGCGGCAAGCAGGCCGACGAUUAGCCCAGGAUGCCCUCCUCAGCAGCAGAUCCCACAAAUGUAUGGGCAAUAUCAGCAUCAAGCACCUCCUGGUGCUGGUGCUGGUGCUGGGAUACCACAGGCCAUGGGGGGCUAUGCCUGUGGUGGGUACACCAAAGGCACGGCGCCUAAUGCUGCUGCUGCUGCUCCGGCCAUGAGAGCACCCCCCUAUCGACACCUACCGACGGGGCAGAAGAACGGCCCGCUGGACAGACUGGCAGUGGAGACCACCGACAUAUACACGCGGUCGCUCAACGGCAUCGUCGCCGCCGCCGCGGCAUCGGCCGGUGCCACGGGCGCCCACAGGAAGGUGGGCGCCGUGCCGUUUGGCAUGCCGACGACUUACUAGCGGCUAAGAAGGCGGCAGCGGCGCGUACCUAGACCCUUCGGCCGGAACAGUAGCAACCGGAGGGAGGCAUUGGCCUGAAAUAAGUUGGCGGAUGAGGAUCGUCCGACGACGACGACGGCGGCGAAGGCAUACAGAGAUAGUAGGUGCGAAAUCCUCUUCCAAGUCGUCUCUAGGCUACACACAAAAGACGGAGGGACGGAUGUGGCCAGACGAGCUGUUUAUUUAGGUGCAAAUGAAAAUUAAUUAGCUGGUUAGCGGCCGGCUGGAGACAGGUCAACUCAACACAGAAAUGAAGUCUGUACUGUGCUACUGCUUACUAUCCAACAGACUGAUUAAUUGAUUAAAGGGAUGAUGGUCCAUUGAUCAUCAUCAUAUGAUUCAUUUGCUCGGAAAAAUAGUUGCCCUUAGACUGAAACUGCAAUGCCCUUGAGUUUCUGCAUCUACAUUAUUCAUGUCAAAAUUAAAUUUGCUCUGGGCCCCUUGACUUUCUCUAUCUAAAAUGUUCAUGUCAAAAUUAUAAUCUACUAAAGCCAGUAUCACUAUCCCAAAUUGCAUUGACAGUAGCAACAAUAACAACUACAGAGAGCAAAAUUUCACCAUUGUCAUCAAAACUGCCCACUGUUAGCACACUAAGAAACUACAUGCAUUCACUAUUAGCACAUCAAUCCAAAUACGUCCAUUCACUGUUAGCCCAUUUGCAUACGUAAACAUCCGUCCACAAUUAGCCAUCCAAGCCUUCAUACGCAUCACUUGAGUAAAAGAGAAGAGGAGAACAGAGGAGACAGAGAGAUGGGGAGGGAGAGCAGCUCAUAAGCGACCAGCGAGCGGGGAGGGACGGGGCGGCCUUGGGCGAUGUCGACCGGCGGCGAGGGCAAGGCUAGCUCGGAUAAUUUGUUUUGUUUUGUUUUCUGGUUUCUAGAUCUUUCAUGUACCAGUUACACAUUGCAUAGUUCCACAAAUAAAAAUAUGCGCAAUUCUAAUGUCAUGACCAAGCGGCCAGCUUGGUAAGCUACCAACAACAAAUUGAAAAACUCUAGUUGUUCGCACAUUUCUUAUGAUUAAGAAUGCAGAAAUUCAACGAGUUAUGAGAUCUCAGUCUUGUAAUUUCUGGUUCUUUUGUUUUGGGAUUCAUAUGUUUUUAGAUCGCAUUUGUACAAAAAUAUAUAGGGUGCAUGGUGCCUCAACGCGAUGGUCAGGAGUGGUGUGGUGUACUCCUCUGACCAGGGUCAGAGCCAGGAUUGGGCCAAGCCCCGGGCCUNNNNNNNNNNNNNNNNNNNNNNNNNNNNNNNNNNNNNNNNNNNNNNNNNNNNNNNNNNNNNNNNNNNNNNNNNNNNNNNNNNNNNNNNNNNNNNNNNNNNNNNNNNNNNNNNNNNNNNNNNNNNNNNNNNNNNNNNNNNNNNNNNNNNNNNNNNNNNNNNNNNNNNNNNNNNNNNNNNNNNNNNNNNNNNNNNNNNNNNNNNNNNNNNNNNNNNNNNNNNNNNNNNNNNNNNNNNNNNNNNNNNNNNNNNNNNNNNNNNNNNNNNNNNNNNNNNNNNNNNNNNNNNNNNNNNNNNNNNNNNNNNNNNNNNNNNNNNNNNNNNNNNNNNNNNNNNNNNNNNNNNNNNNNNNNNNNNNNNNNNNNNNNNNNNNNNNNNNNNNNNNNNNNNNNUGAAUAUACAUGUCAUGUUCUGGAUGCGAAUGAUUUGAGCUCUAGCUCAUAUGAGUUCGAUUGAACAGUAAAAUCCAAAAAAAUUGAAAAAAAAUUCUGAAUUCUAUUUGUAGCAACAUUGACAAAUGUUCUUAAUGCUUGCAAAGUUUCAUCAUCGACUAACAUUCAUGGAAAUCAGCAUUCGGAACAUUUGUCACUGAUUUGCUAAAAAAACAGAAUUCUUUUUUGAAUGUUUAUUAAUUUUUUUUGGGAUUUUACUGUUCACACAAAGUACUUUUUUGGGCCGUGCUCUUUCUUUUUUUAAGACCCUUCUCAACCCCGCAAAAAAAAAUGAUCAAGAGGAAUAAGAACUAGGCGUCACCUUAAUUAAUUUGUUUGUUUUGUGUGAAACGUCCAAUUUUUUUUCCGCAUUUAUAAAAAAAUUGCAACACCCAUAUCAUGCAUCUCAACAUGGAACAUGUGGCGAACCAACCUGUAGUUGGAUGGUUAGAGGGACAACGGUAUCCCCAGCCCACCAGGGUUCAAGUCCUUCUGAAUUUAUUUCAGAAUUUCCGAUGGUGCGCUUUCAGUGGGAGGAGACGUUCUCGUCGACGACGAGGCUAAAUUUCAAGAUGACAUGUCGGCUCAGUCUCUCGGAGGUGCUCAUAGGGGUAGGGUGUGCGUGUGUGCGUUCAUAGGGUGAGUGUAUGCGCGUAUGUAUGAGCGCUUGCGUCUAUACUGAUAUUAAAAAAAACAUGGAAAACAUGACAGGAGAGAAAGAUGGAAUCAACUUUUUUUUUUACAUUUCGUUCACUGGGUAAAUAUCGAUCGAAGUGUGUGCAUGCACUGAUGUGCUGGAAUUUUGUCUAUUUGGGCCUAGCCCAAUAGCAGUUUCAGAAAUUCCUAAUAAAUCCUAGAGACCCACGCAGUCCAAUCGUGCAAGGCAAAAGGUGGAACUAAAAUUUAGUCUCAUCUUGCUAGUUUAGAGGGAGUUGGACCUCUUUAUAAGGGAGGCUCCUUCCCCACUUGUAUGAGCAUGAGAACAAGAGGGACAUCCACGCACGCUCCUCCUCCGCCGCCCGCCUCGCCUCGUCACGACGCGCCGCGGGUUGCGGGAAUGAGCCGAGCCGAUGUCUAAAUUUUUGUCACGCACUACAGGUAUACGAAAGGUCACGCGAAAGCUGAAACGUUUUCGUCUCCCUCGUUCUCUUCAGCUCCCAGCACAGCCUCUCGCCUCCUUCUCUUGCGCCUAUAAAAGGGAGGUCACUCCUCUCAGAGAGACGCAUCAGAAUCUCUUCCUCCUCUCGCCACAAGUUCCUGAGCACUGCGCUGCUGCUACGUUCUUCCCCAUCCCAGCUUGCGGCGUGCACCGCAGGUCGGGACAGUAGGCCUCUGAAACCGCACCUUUUGAGUCCUGUACGGGAGAAGGGUGAUAAGGCUUUUGGGGAGCGCUCUGCGCGACUACUGACUUUUUCGUCACGGACGCCCCGGACUCCGACGACUACUUCCCCGACGUCGACUACCUCCUCGACGACAUGGAGGACACCGACCCCAAGUCCAGUGCCUCUGCCCCGGCUGCUGUCCAGUACGUGUUCUUAUCUUUCCUGUUAGAAGUCCUGCAACAGUUCCUUCUUCUAAUGUUUGCUCUAGACAUGUUAGGCUCUAUUUCAUAUAUGCUUCUUGAUCUACUGUCUGCUCUAGAGAUGAUUGGUUCUAGCUCAUAUAUGCAGAUAUUAUUUACUUUCUCUUUUUCAAAUCGCAUGGCUUGUUUUAUCACUGCUAUACUAGUCAUGCUUUAUCUAGUAUUUCUGUUAAUAAAAUUAUUCGGUAAAUUGCUCAUAUUUCUAACAUGAUGCACAUGUCAUAUUCCCAACGUACGAACGUGUUGGGUGCACUACCUUACUUGGGGUUAUAUUAGUGGAGUUCAAUCUCUCCUGGUGAGUGACAAACACCACUGGCUAGCUCAGCGCAGCUCCCUCGCUCUCACCCAACUUUCUUCCCGCCGGCCAGCCGCGCGCUUCAUCACAUCGAUCGAUCUACCGAUCCAUCGGUCCCCGAGCACUGUGGCGGCGCCAGCAACCACGGAGACGGGCGACGACCCUGCAUUCGUCGCCGAGGGCACCGUCACCUGCAUCAGGCUCGCCAUCGCCUCCAACAUGGAGAUGGUAAUUACUCUGCCCACCUCCAACAACCAUGGCGUCUUCAUCUCCUCUCCUCCUUGUUCUUCAUCUUGCGUUGCAUACACGAGGACAAAAAGAAAGCAAUUAACAACAUUAAUUAAUGAUUGCAUUGCAGGUGAGGGCGAGGAGUAUCCGGUGAAGCACCCGAGCCAGCUGGCGGCUUGCCUGCUCCCUCCCCAUGCUCCCAUCCGUACUUUCACUUCAUUCUGUGGCUGUCUUUUUUCUUUUUUCUUUCUAAUCUAAUCAUCCCCCUGAUUUUAAGGGGGUGGGACCGGGUCUUAUUUUGUUCCAAUCAAAUCAAGCCACGUAUGCGGGAGCACGGAUGGGCACACGCGCGGGGAGCAGGCAAGUCUCGUCCACAAACCGGGCGCUGGGCCUGCCGUUGCAGCUCGGCUGCUGCGACUCCUGCGGCGCAACAGACCUCGCCAAAUGCGAAGGUUAUUGAUGAUUUUUAUUUAACAGUGUCUCUUCAGUUAAGUGAUGAAUAUACAGUAGUGGCACUAUGGACAUGCAGCUAAAACUUUUUUGGUCAGCUAGCUAGUUCAGUCAGUGUGUGACAAUCCUGCAAACAUGGUUCAGUCAGUCAGUCAGUGUGUGUGUCAUGGGAACUGAAUUUGGGACAAUUUUUCAGGCUCCUGAAACUAGAUAGAAACCAAACUGAACGAUAUUCAAACAAGUUCAGUUUAUCGCACAAUAACUAGUUACCUAGGUAACAACUGAGCUGACUACUCACUUCUACAGCACUUUUGGGACAGUACUUUUGUAAGUACCUUUUGGGACAGUACUUUUGGUUUCAUUAGAAGCUUGUUUGUUUCACCCUCACCUCCUGAAUUUUUUCUCCCUUCUUUAGGAUGCCUCCACAAACUUGCUGAGGAAAGUCCUAGUCAAGGUACAUGAAAUCAACGGCUCAAGGGUUGGCGCCCCAACCUUUCAAGAAGAUGAGGCGGAAGCAGAUGAUCUUCAGGUCGCCAUUGCCGACUACAUCAAGCUUGCGGGAACAGCAAGGGUAUCUAGACAAUGCGUAAAUGAAGUACAUACUAUCUCCUAGCUUGAUCACAAAUAACUGUAUGUUGAUAACGUGUCUUCAUGUAUCUUUUGAAGGGCCCUCAAGAUGUCACCUUCACAAGUCAGCCUGCAACAAAACAAUGGCAGCAGAAGAUGAAGUCGCUCUGUAUCAGCAAGAGCUCAAGCUUUUCAUGCCGUGGUGUGAUCAUGGGUGGCCCAUACAUUCCCAUGAAUGUGGUAGGGUAGGAGUGCCUGACGAAGUAGCAAGACGGAUGUCGGUACAAGUGCGUGUGUANNNNNNNNNNNNNNNNNNNNNNNNNNNNNNNNNNNNNNNNNNNNNNNNNNNNNNNNNNNNNNNNNNNNNNNNNNNNNNNNNNNNNNNNNNNNNNNNNNNNNNNNNNNNNNNNNNNNNNNNNNNNNNNNNNNNNNNNNNNNNNNNNNNNNNNNNNNNNNNNNNNNNNNNNNNNNNNNNNNNNNNNNNNNNNNNNNNNNNNNNNNNNNNNNNNNNNNNNNNNNNNNNNNNNNNNNNNNNNNNNNNGUGAUUAGACACUAAGUACCAAAGUUGCAGUUUUUAACUUCUUUAAGUUUAAGUGGAGUUUAGGCACAAGUUUAACAUUUACAACAUAUAGCAAGCAAGCAUGCAAAGAGUAUAUGAGCAACGGAAAGUAAGGCAUGCAACUUGCAAGAAUGUAAAGGGAAGGGUUUUGAAAGAUUUGAGUGGAAAGCAACUUGGGGAAGGCUAGAGAUCAAGAUUCAUAUGGUAGGAAUUGAAUAUCUUGGCCUCAACACAUGAGUAGGUAGUUCUCUCUCAGAAAUGGUAAGUUGGAAGUGUAGGUUCGUUCUGAUGGCUCUCUCCACGAAUGAAGAGGAGGUGGAGGGGUAUAUAUAGCCUCCACACAAAAUCUAACCGUUACACACAAUUUACCAAACUCGGUGGGACCGAAUCAACAAAUUCGGUCGGACCGAUUUAGUAAACCUAGUGACCGUUAGGAUUUUUGGUGGGACCGAUAUGCAACUCGGUAGGACCGAUAUGAUUAGGGUUAGGGCAUAACGUAAUCUCGGUAAGACCGAUUACACAAACUCGGUGGGACCGAUUUUGGUAAUUAGCUAACCAGAGAGUUGGUCAGGCAAACUCUGUGGGACCGAUUACUCAAACUCGGUGGGACCGAUUUAGUAAUAAGUUAACCAGAGAGUUUGCAUUGUAAUCUCGGUAGUACUGAUUACACAAACUCGGUGAGACCGAUUUUCAUAAUGGACAUACACAGAGAGAUUGCAAUCCCAUCUCGGUGAGACCGAGAUCCCUAUCGGUGAGACCGAUUUGCUUAGGGUUUGUGGCAGUGGCUAUGACAUCUGAACUCGGUGGUGCCGGAUAGAAAGAAUCAAUAGGGCCGAGUUUGACUUCAGGUUUAGGUCAUAUGUGUGGAAGUGGGAAAGUAGUUGAGGGUUUGGAGCAUAUCACUAAGCACUGUGGAGCAAGAAACUCAUUAAGCAACACCUCAUCCCUUCUUGAUAGUAUUGGCUUUUCCUAUAGACUCAAUGUGAUCUUGGAUCACUAAAAUAUAAAAUGAAGAGUCUUGAACUUGAAGCUUGAGCCAAUCCUUUGUCCUUAGCAUCUUGAAGGAGUUCCCACAUCUUUUAGUCCAUGCCACUCCAUUGUUGAACUUGUCUGAAAUGUACUAGGUAAAAGUGUUAGUCCAACAAAAGAUAUGUUGACAUUAAUUACCAAACCCACCUAGGAAACACUUGUGCUUUCAAUCUCCCCCUUUUUGGUAACUGAUGACAACAUACAUCAAAGCUUUAGAUAAAGAUAUAGAGAAUAGCAAGUAAAGCUUUGGAAAGAUGUGUAACAAGCAUAGGCUCCCCCUACAUGUAUGCAAUCAUGUGAAUAUAGAAUAUAGAAGCAUGUGAGAGCAUAACCAUGACAGAGUAGGCAAUGUGUUACAUGUAUCUUGGCCAUAUGCAUCAGAGCAAAGAAUAUUAAAGAAAAUACCUCCAUGCUUAUGAGUCCUUCUUGCAAACAAUAUGUACAUCAGCAAGAAUUCCUCAUACAUAUGAGUGUGAUGCAUAUACUUACCUUGUAGUCUUGAGUUGGCUUAGGAUGGAAUGAACCUGCAUAAACAAGGUUAGAUAACACAGAUACAUCUACUAGCCAGAGCAAACAGAAGAAACCACAAGAAUACCAAGACUGGGAUGACAUGUAGAGAGUGAGUACUAAGUACCACAUUGGAUUAGACAUGUCCCCAAGAGUAAAGAUAUGCAAUGAAUUUAAAUGAUUUCUUUCCCUUGGAUGUCUUGCUCCCCCUGAAUCUAGCAUGGGAUACUGGGAGAAGAUAGGGAACAAAAAAUCAGAGUUGAAAGAUAUAAAUGAACAGAGCUAAUGCAAACUAAUGCAAAUAAGCACAUAUGAACAUGUCUUUUCCCCUCAAUAAGACAUGUGGCAUCUCUCCUCUUGAACACCAAGCAUCUGAGAUCCUUGACAAAUACUUUCUACUUGAGUAUUCUCUCCCCUGGAGAUCUCUUUCUCCCCCUGAGGAGGUGAUACUAUCCCUCUGAUGUGAUCUCUCUAAGUGAUAAGCUUUGAUGUGAUCUCUCUCUCCCCCUUUGACAUCAAUUUCCAAGAAGGGUUUGAUCCUUGAGUCACAGCACACAACAUUUAUAAAAAUGUGAUGCUUGUAGAGGACAAGAUUCAUUGAGUGGAGCUGGAUCAGAAGAAACACAGAAUAUGUGGCAAGCUGUUUUUCAUGUUGGGAAAUCGGUGGCACCAAGUGGUAUGCUUCGGUUGUACUGAAAGGAUUCGGUUGGACCGAAAACAACAAAUCGGUGAAACCGAGUUCAUCACAGAGAAAACACUUGUCACCUCAGCUCACUAGACUAGUAGGGUCUCACAAAGAUUUGCAAGGAAUUUACUGAAUGAUAUGCAAUGAAUUGGAUGCAGAAAAUGCAGAGCAAACAAAAAGAAAUCUAGAUGAAGUUUUUUUUCUUGAAAGAGGAAACAAAUAUGCAUGAGACAAAUGCAAAAGCACAGUAAAGAACAUGAGAGAACUUCAUCUAGAUAUGGUCGGCGACAAAGUCACCUAUGUUAGAGUAUAUUGACUUAGGAGUCAAGUGAGAUCACUUGAUCAUAGGUCAUACUCAUUGUUUAAGCUCAAAAUUGGGUUACCAUUUUUUGUUUAAGCAUCUUGAUGUAUUCACAUCUUGUCGAGUUGCUUUAGCUCAUGACUUGGAGUAAAGCUUCUCUAAGAUGGAAUAGCAUACCUUGGUUGGUGGUGUAGAACAUGUAGUUGAACUUGUGUGGGUUGCUCAAGGUUGAUGUAGCUCAUCAAGAGUUGGGAGCACCACUUGGAAUUUGAGUCCAUAUACCUACAUGGGUUAGUUCUUGCAAGGAAAAGCACUUGUGUAUCCAAAAAUGAUAAUCAUGAAGCUCAACAUAGAGUUUGUCAAAGGAUGUGUUUGAAUGGUUUCGUGCUUCCUUGUCUUCAACCACCAUAGUGUAGAAACUUGGUGAUGUAGAGAUUGCUCAAGAUGUGAGUAGAUUACAAUCUCAUGAAAUUUGAUUCAACCAAGUACCUACAUGGGUUAGAUAACAUGUAAGAUACAAAUAUAUCCAAGAUAUAAGACUUUCAUCAUAAGAGAAAUAUCAAGGAUUAGUCAUAAGCUCAUGUCUUGCAUGUAUCCAAUGGAGUUUCUACUCCAAGUUUGAAGCAUCAAUGAUGUUCAAUUCUCCUCUCAACCUGCAAAACACUUUCUCAUCAAGAGGUUUAGUGAAAAUAUCCGCUAAUUGUUUUUCGGUGCGAACAUGCUUAAUAUCAAUGUCACCAUUAGCAACAUGAUCUGGAAUGAAAUGAUGACGAACUUCAAUAUGCUUAGUUUGAGAAUGUUGCACGGGAUUAUGACCAAUUUUGAUAGCACUUUCAUUGUCACAAAGCAAUGGAACAUGUUUCACAUAUAUCCCAUAAUCUUUAAGAGUUUGGGUCAUCCAAAGUAAUUGAGCACAACAUGAACCAACGGAAAUGUAUUCCGCUUAGGCGGUGGAUAAGGAUAUCGAGUUUUGCUUCUUGGAAGACCAAGACACAAGAGAUCUACCAAGAAAUUGACAAGUACCUGAAGUGGACUUUCUAUCAACCUUGUCUCCGGCAUAGUCCGAGUCGGAGUAGCCAACAAGAUCGAAAGAGGCCCUCUUAGGAUACCAAAUGCCAAAAUUUGGUGUAUGGAUUAAGUAUCUCACUAUCCUUUUCACGGCCUUAAGAUGACAUUCUUUAGGAGCAACUUGAUAUCGUGCACACAUGCACACACUUAGCAUGAUAUCGGGACGUGAAGCACAUAGAUAUAUAAUGAACCAAUCAUAGAGCGAUAAACCUUUUGAUCAACCGGUUCACCAUCUUUGGUCAAGUCAAGAUGUCCACUAGUAGGCAUGGGUGUAGACAUACCUUUGCAUUCUUGCAUAUUGAACUUCUUGAAUAAGUCCUUGGUGUACUUCGUUUGAGAAAAAAAAGUACCUUCCUUAGUUUGCUUGAUUUGCAACCCAAGAAAGAAUUUGAGUUCACUCAUCAUAGACAUCUCAAACUUCUCCGACAUUAGCUUUCCAAACUUUUCACUAAAAUGAGGGUUAGUUGAACCAAAUAUAAUAUCAUCAACAUAGAUUUGGCACACAAAUAGUUCUCCAUUAACCCUUUUAGUAAAAAGUGUGGAAUCAAUUUUCCCAAUUUCAAAGCCUUUUUCAAUAAGGAACUUGGUCAAGCAUUUAUACCACGCUCUAGGAGCUUGUUUAAGACCAUAAAGGGCUUUGUGAAGUUUGUAAACAUGAUUUGGUUUCUUAGGAUUGACAAAGCCGGGAGGUUGCUUAACAUAAACUUCCUUCUCUAUUUCACCAUUUAGAAAAGCACUUUUAAUGUACAUUUGGUACAAGGUGAUAUCAUGAUGAUUAGCAUAGGCAAGUAAGAUGCGAAUGGACUCAAGUCUAGCAACGGGAGCAUAAGUCUCACCAUAGUCCAUACCUUCGACUUGUGUGUAGCCUUGGGCGACGAGACGUGCUUUGUUGCGAACUACUUGCCCAUCUUCAUCUUGCUUGUUGCGAAACACCCAUUUUGUACCGAUGAUGUUGUGGUUGUUGUCGGGCUUCUCAACCAAUGUCCAAACUUGGUUUCUCUCAAAGUUGUGUAGCUCUUCAUGCAUAGCAUUUAUCCAAUCCGGAUCUUCCAAUGCUUCUUCGACCUUCAUAGGUUCAAUGCUAGAGAUGAAAGAAUAGUUUUCACAAAAGUUAGCUAAACGAGUUUUAGAGCGAGUGAUUCUCCCGGUUUGAAUAUCAUUGUAGAUUUGCUCGACGGGAUGGUCUUUAGAAAUUCUUGCUCGAACUCGUGAAAGCUUUUGCUUGGUUCUUGGUUGAACUUCUUCUUCAUCUUGUUCUUCUUCUUGGCCUUCUUCAUUGUUGGCGUUGUCGUUCUUUUGUCAUGGUGGAGAAGGAGGUCGUUGACGUUCAUCUUGAUGCACUUCCUCGUUUUCUUCAUCUUGGUGUGUCCCACUUGUGGAUGCUUCCGUAUCAAUUCUUGGUUCACCUUGUCGUGAAGUAGAAGCUUCCAAUUGGACGGACGAGGUACUCUCCUUCACCUCCGUUGGACGAACCUUGCCAAUAGACAAGUCUUGGAUUGCUUCCGAAGGAUCUUUGUCUCCUACAUCAAUUGGCAAUUGCUCUACUUGCGAGAGAUUCAUCAAACUUCACAUCUACCAUCUCUUCAACCUUUCGGGUGAAAUUGUCGUAGACAAGGUAAGUGUGAGAGUUUGAGCCAUAACCUAGUAGGAAACCUUCAUGAGACUUAGGAGAAAAUUUAGAACGACGAUGCUUAUCAAGAAUGUAGCACUUUGAGCGAAAUACUCGAAAGUAUCCAACAUGGGGUUUGUUACCGGUGAGGAGCUCGUAUGCCGUCUUGCCGAGUAGCCUGUGAAGAUACAAGCGAUUUGUUGCAUGACAAGCUGUCUCAACCGCUUCUGCCCAAAAGUGCUUCGGUGUCUUGUACUCAUCAAGCAUCGUUCUCGCCAUUUCGAUGAGCGUCCGGUUCUUCCCCUCAACAACUCCAUUUUGUUGAGGUGUGUACUUAGCCAAGAACUCGUGUGAAAUCCCUUCUUCGUCAAGAAAGGUGUCCACAUUUGUGUUCUUGAACUCCGUUCCGUUGUCGCUGCGAACCUUCUUGAUCUUCACUUCAAAUUGAUUUUGGGCCUUCCUAGCGAAGUUUUUGAAGAUCUUUUGGACCUGCGAUUUAUCAUCGAGAAAGAACACCCACGUAAAUCUUGAAAAAUCAUCAACUAUAACUAGACCAAAAGAAUUUCCACCGAGGCUUUUAUAAGCGUUGGGACCAAAAAGAUCCAUAUGAAGUAGCUCGAGUGGCCUCCUUGUGGUCAUGAUGUUCUUCACGGGAUGCCUUCCUCCAACCUGUUUACCUGCUUGACAAGCACUGCAAAGUUUAUCCUUAUCAAAUAUGACAUCGUUAACACCAAGGAUAUGAUUCCCUUUAAUAAGCUUGUCAAGGUUUCUCAUACCAAUGUGACCUAGUCGUCUAUGCCAUAACCAACCUUUUGAGGAUUUAGCAAUGAAGCAAGUUUUAGGUUGUGCCUUUUUAGAGAAAUCAACAAUGUAAAAGAUCACCUCUACGUAUGCCGGUAAAGACCAUUUUAUGAUUGUCUCGACGAAACACUUGGCAAUCUACUUCAGUAAAUAGGACAUUGAAACCGAAAUCAGCAAGUCUAGAUACUGAAAGUAAGUUGUAGCCAAGAGAUUCAACGAGCAUGACAUUUUGUAUGGAGGUAUCAUGUGAUAUGGCCACCUUACCAAGGCCAACCACCUUACCCUUUGAGUUGUCACCGAAAGUGACAUACUUUCGAGGACUAUCAUUUUCAGCAAGCUCACGAAACAUGUCUUUAUCUCUAGUCAUGUGAUCGGUACAUCCACUGACAAGAACCCAUUCCUUUCCUCCUGACACAUAUCCCCGAAGAUUUGCCAUAAGACCAAAAUGCCUCAUUGCAUCAUCAAGAUCGAAGUCACUAUCAUCAUCCUCAUCAUAGUAUCCAUGUUCAACAUCGUCAUGUGGUGGAUCAAAUCCUAGAGAGGGUGAUUCGUUAGAGUGAGUUUGACAAUGAUCUUGCUUAUGAAUUUUUAUAGCUUCGGAAAUAAUAUCACUAAUAAUUCCAACAUCUCCUUUGGCACGCAUAAGGUUUGUAAGUUCAAAUAGACGAUCACCAAACAUAGGAUCACUAGUAUUCAUUUUACUCAAGGCAAUAGACUUAUAGAGAAUUUCAUCUAGAUUUUUCAAGGAAUAAUUUGGAAAGCGUUCCUCAAAAAAUUUCCAUAUAGUGUAGGCACACUCAAGAGUAGGCAAGAUUCUAAUUAAGUUUCUAGGCAAGCCUCUAGUGAUAAGAUUAACAGUUCUAAGAUUUCUAGUCAUGUCAAUAGAUUCAUCUAGGGUAGGAUGCAUAGGAUCAACAUGAGGUGCACAAGGGCUAGCAAUGUACUUGUUCAAAUGAUAUUGAUUGAAAAUUACAAGCAUCUCAUUUUUCCACUCAUGAAAAUACUCUUCAUCAAGAAUAGGCACUCUAUGUCUAAGACUCCCCAAAGUAGACUCAUCCAUCUUCCUCCAAUGAUGAUUAAACCAAGGCAAUGGAGACCAAUGCUCUGAUACCACUUGUAGGACCUUGAGAAGAGGUGUCUAGAGGGGGGUGGGGUGGGGUGAUUAGACACUAAGUACUAAAGUUGUAGUUUUUAACUUCUUUAAGUUUAAGUGGAGUUUAGGCACAAGUUUAACAUUUACAACAUAUAGCAAGCAAGCAUGCAAAGAGUAUACGAGCAGCGGAAAGUAAAGCAUGCAACUUGCAAGAAUGUAAAGGGAAGGGUUUUGGAGGAUUCAAACACAAUUGGAGACACGAAUGUUUUUGGCGUGGUUCCGAUAGGUGGUGCUAUCGUACAUCCACGUUGAUGCAGACUUCAACCCACGAAGGGUAACGGUUGCGCGAGUCCAUGGAGGGCUCGACCCACGAAGGGUCCAUGAAGAAGCAACCUUGUCUAUCCCACCAUGGCCGUCACCCACGAAGGACUUGCCUCACUAGCGGUAGAUCUUCACGAAGUAGGCAAUCUCCUUGCCCUUACAAACUCCUUGGUUCAACUCCACAAUCUUGUCGGAGGCUCCCAAGUGACACCUAGCCAAUCUAGGAGACACCACUCUUCAAGAAGCAACAAAUGGUGCGUUGAUAAUGAACUCCUUGCUCUUGUGCUUCAAAUGAUAGUCUCCCCAACACUCAACUCUCUCUCAUAGGAUUUGGAUCUGGUGGAAAGAAGAUUUGAGUGGAAAGCAACUUGAGAAAGGCUAGAGAUCAAGAUUCAUAUGGUAGGAAUUGAAUAUCUUGGCCUCAACACAUGAGUAGGUAGUUCUCUCUCAGAAAUGGUAAGUUGGAAGUGUAGGUUCGUUCUGAUGGCUCUCUCCAUGAAUGAAGAGGAGGUGGAGGGGUAUAUAUAGCCUCCACACAAAAUCUAACCGUUACACACAAUUUACCAAACUCGGUGGGACCGAAUCAACAAACUCAGUCGGACCGAUUUAGUAAACCUAGUGACCGUUAGGGUUUUCGGUGGGACCGAUAUGCAACUCGGUAGGACCGAUAUGAUUAGGGUUAGGGCAUAAUGUAAUCUCGGUAAGACCGAUUACACAAACUCGGUGGGACCGAUUUUGGUAAUUAGCUAACCAGAGAGUUGGUCAGGCAAACUUUGUGGGACCGAUUACUCAAACUCGGUGGGACCGAUUUAGUAAUAAGUUAACCAGAGAGUUUGCAUUGUAAUCUAGGUAGUACCGAUUACACAAACUCGGUGAGACCGAUUUUGGUAAUGGACAUACACAGAGAGAUUGCAAUCCCAUCUCGGUGAGACUGAGAUCCCUAUCGAUGAGACCGAUUUGCUUAGGGUUUGUGGCAGUGGCUAUGACAUCUGAACUCGGUGGCGCCGGAUAGAAAGAAUCGGUAGGGCCGAGUUUGAGUUCAGGUUUAGGUCAUAUGUGUGGAAGUGGGAAAGUAGUUGAGGGUUUGGAGCAUAUCACUAAGCACCGUGGAGCAAGAAACUCAUUAAGCAACACCUCAUCCCUUCUUGAUAGUAUUGGCUUUUCCUAUAGACUCAAUGUGAUCUUGGAUCACUAAAAUAUAAAAUGAAGAGUCUUGAGCUUGAAGCUUGAGCCAAUCCUUUGUCCUUAGCAUCUUGAAGGAGUUCCCACAUCUUUUAGUCCAUGCCACUCCAUUGUUGAACUUAUCUGAAAUGUACUAGGUAAAAGUGUUAGUCCAACAAAAGAUAUGUUGACAUUAAUUACCAAAACCACCUAGGGAGCACUUGUGCUUUCAGCGUGUGACAGAGUGCAACAUUGCUCAGCUGCAAGGCAUGAUGGAUAGAGGUCUUUGCCUGACACAUGAAGAUGCUAAUUCCAUCACGCACUCCUUGGAUGCGUGUGGGGAAAGCAAAUAAGAAACGCACCAGGCUGAAGGUUGGUGAAACGGUCAACCGCAGAAUUCUAGAUGGAGAUACUAUAUUUAUCAACAGGCCACCAAGCACCGACAAGCACUCAGUCCAAGGAAUGUAUGCCCGUGUUCAUAGUGAUCACACCAUCAAGAUCAACCCGCUCAUAUGUGACCACUUGGAGCAGAUUUCGACGGUGACUGUGUCCACAUAUUCUUCCCAAGGUCAGUGUCAGCAGGGGCUGAAGCUACAUAGCUCUUCACAGUGGAGAAGCAGCUGGUGAGCUCUCACAGUGCUAAACUGAAUUUUCAACUCAAGAAUGAUUGCUUACUAGCUUUAAAGAGAAUGUCUGGUAGAGAGUAUUCUACAAGGGAGGCCAACCAAUGUAACACCCCAAAAAUUUAACCAAAUUUUUGGUAAUUAAAAUUUUGCCAGGAGUUUUAAAAUUUUUCUUUCUGGAUUAUUUCUGUGGAGUUCAGAGCAUCUCUUUUAAUAUUGAGGAUAAUUAUUUUUCCUAGUGGAGCUUUCCAAAAUAUUAAACUUCUAUGCUCUCUGUAUAACUAUUUCUAAAUCAGUAGAUUUAUUUAUUAAAUUGUUUCACCCUGAGCUUUAAUCAUUAAAAUGGCUUGUUUUAAAUUUUGGAGCUCUGUUUAUACUGCAACCAGUUGAUAACUUUAACUAAUAUUCCAACCAAAAUUUGGAGAUGUAUUGUGAUGUCUCUAAAUCACUUUUGUGCAAUUAUAUAGUUAUUUCAUUGCAUAUUUUGAGUGUUACACCUGUUUUUCAGAUCUGGUCCAGUGGGCACUUUUGCACUACAACCCAUUUAGAUAUUUCCCUAGAGCCUCCACCAAAAUUAUGGGAUAUCAGUAGUAGCAUGCCAUCCAACUUUAUGCAAAAACAUAGUGAUGUUCUUUGGAAAAUUUGAGUGCAUCAACCUCUUAUUCAUUCUGGACCAGACUUGUGUUUUCUACUGCAACCCCAUCCUUCCUUGCUCAAGUGACCUUGUGCUUUCUCAUGCUUGUAGCCAACCCUGCAAAACCCCUAAGUCUAGGAGCAUGCACUCUUUGGAACAUUUUUGGUCCAUGUAAUGAUGCCAUCUACUCCCUGUCCAGAAGUGUAGUUUUGCAAAACUUGCACUAGCAAGUUUCUCCUUUUUGCAAACUAACUUCACCACUCUCUCUUACAUCCACAGAGACACUGAUCUGGAGAUUUUGGCCACUCCAAGAACUACCUAGGUGCCUUUGGCAUUUUGUCAAACACCCUGAGUGCACAGCCAGAUUUGGCAUGACUUCAAGUUUACUUAGUAAACUUGAACCCCUGACCAAUCCACCAUGUCCCUUUAGUCCCUUGCUAACCUUAGAAUAGUCCUGUUUCUUGCCAUCUUCAACCGCGACCUCUAGGCUGCCCUGGCAUUUCGUCGAGCAUGUCCCGGGCGUGCUCUGGGCGCGCCCAGAGCGUGCGUUUGGCACCCACGAGCGCCCGAGCCGCCGCGUCACGCCCCGCACUCAAUCCGGCCCGUGACCGGUCCCAGCCAACACUCCGUGUUCCCCUGCACCGCCACACCACCCCGACCAACCUGGCACCCCACAGCGCCACCGUCAGGACGGCCGUGGCGGCUAGCUGGCGGACGCUUGCAGCCCCGGCCGUGUCGGCGCCGCCCAAACCACCGGCGCUUGCCACCUGCCUCCUGGAGCAGUGCAUGCUCAUCCACAGCGUCGUCCUCUAGCGCGCGUCGCCGCCACGUCGCCCUAGCUACAGAACGGCGGUCGCCGGCAAGCUUAUCGACGACCGCCGUAAACCGACCUCCAUCGCCUAUAUAAGGAGACCCCGAGCUCAAACCCGCACGCAGGCAACCUCACCCCGUCCCACUCGUGCCCCCUUAGCCAUCAAUCGAUGGGAGAGGGUCGUCCCCUUCCUCUCAGGCAACUCCAGCCGCCGUCACUAACCAGGCCACUCCGGCGCCACCACAUCCUCCCCCUCCCCACUCUCUCCACCAGGAGCUUUCUUUUCCUCCCGUGAGCCCGUCCCCCUGCUCCAUUUUGAUCGGGAUCCACCGCGGCCCAAAAAUCACUUUGUCCCCGAAGCCUCCUCCGCCGCGAAGCUCGCCGCCGGCAGCUCACGCCAUCCCCGCCGACCCAGCGACCAUCGGGAGGACCGCCCCAGUCUAGCGGAUCCAUCCCCACCCUCAGGGGCCCGUGAGAAGCCACCAAACGCCGGCGACGAUCGCCGGAGUCCCCGCCUCUGUUCGGCCAGAGGAAGGAAAGGGAAGGAGACUGGUCAAACCUGACUAGUGGGGCCCCCUGGACCCACUGGCAGUGACUCAGGCGCAAUCCACGCUGGAUAAGUGGAAGCGCAUUUUCAAAAUGCGCCUUCGACGUGUACGUAUAUUUCGAAACGUUUCCUUUUUCUGUUUUUUUAAAUAACAGGUUUUUGACAAAACUUUGACCGGCUGUAUCUUUUUAAAUACAACUCCAAAUGAAUUAAUUCUUUUUCCUACCUCUUUCAAAUAUUGUCUAGUUUAUUAUAAGAUUUAUUUGAAAAAAUUUCAAGACAACUUUUUGUGCUGUUUUGUUUUUGUGUGUUAAUUCAUAUAUAUUCGUUUAAAUAGGAUUUUUGAAGAUUUCAAGAUGUUUUGGAUGCACCCUUCUUUCCCAUGACCUGAAGGCAAGCAUUCUGAACCCUGGUGUAAUUUAUGUGUGUGUUGUUUGAAUCGGUGACAGCACCACCGCGACACGUGCAUACGUCAUUUUAUGUGAGGAAGUGAUCCUACUUAUGAGUGCAUUUUAAUGAGUUUAUGCUAAUGAAGUUGACAUGAUUUGUGAUGGAAAUCACCGUCAUACGUCUUUCAUGCAUACGGGAAGGGAAGCCGGGAAGGCCUCUGUCUUGGGUAGACACGGUCUUGUCCCUAAUACUCCGUCGAGACGGUCAUGUCCGGUAUGGCAUGAGGGAUAUGCCGCGUGAUGUUUCUAUCUGUUGUUUGAAGUAUAUGCAUUGUUAUGCUAAUCAUGCAGGAUAUAUUACAACCUCCUGAGUCGACCGUAGAUCGAGUCUUGUGCCAGUAACCCCCAUACUUGCUUCGUACUACCACUCGUCUCUACGAUAAGUAGAGUACGGUUCAGUAAGUUGUCAACCCCUUUCCUAGCACACACCGUACAGAGAGGCCGUGGUGGAAGAUACUGGAGGCAUCCGGUAGUCAUGCCACCGGGUCCGGGAGCAUGGGUGUUUCGGUUGUAGCCGAAGGGGGUAGCUUCCCCAGUCUUGCGCGCGGUAUAAAUUUUGUGAUCCCAUGUUACGUCGAGGUUGUAGCCUCCCCACUUAGAGUUUUGCUUGACAGGUGUCGUGGGUGAUUCCAGACACAUGCGAGUUAAGCUGGUGUGUGCAAGUUAGGUGUGUUUCCAACAAAAAGACCAUAGACGGAAUUAGUCCCGAUGGACUAAUGGAAUCCGUUACUCGUGGGUAAAGAGUACACCCUUUGCAGAGAUUAAACCUAUUUGAAUAGCCGUGUCCAUGGUUAAGGACUACAGUCUGGGAUGGGUCAAGUGUCGGUCUUAGUGUCGGUCUUCGAAGGUGAAACUAUUAAACCAGAACUGGAAUUACUACCUGUGACUUGUGAUAAUUAUGAUUAUUAUUAUUGUUGACUAACCCGUGUUAUUAUUGUUAUUAUCGAGUAUCUCUGGGAUGGUUCUACCUCCGGGAUAUUCACUAUGAUUGUUUCUUUUAAAGCCCUUUAUGUGGUGUCGCUCAGAUGCCCGACUGUGGCAUUUCUUUUAAAGCCCUGUAUGUGGUGUCGCUCAGAUGCCCGACUGUGGCAUUUCUUUUAAAGCCCUUUUAUGUGGUGUCGCUCAGACGCCCGACUGUGGCAUUUCUUUUAAGGCCCUUUAUGUGGUGUNNNNNNNNNNNNNNNNNNNNNNNNNNNNNNNNNNNNNNNNNNNNNNNNNNNNNNNNNNNNNNNNNNNNNNNNNNNNNNNNNNNNNNNNNNNNNNNNNNNNNNNNNNNNNNNNNNNNNNNNNNNNNNNNNNNNNNNNNNNNNNNNNNNNNNNNNNNNNNNNNNNNNNNNNNNNNNNNNNNNNNNNNNNNNNNNNNNNNNNNNNNNNNNNNNNNNNNNNNNNNNNNNNNNNNNNNNNNNNUUUAUGUGGUGUCGCUCAGAUGCCCGACUGUGGCAUUUCUUUUAAAAAGCUCUUUAUGUGGUGUCGCUAAGACGCCCGACUGUGGCAUUUCUUUUAAAGCCCUUUAUGUGGUGUCGCCAAGACGGCCGACUGUGGCAUUUCUUUUAAAGCCCUUUGUGUUAUUUAUUGCAUAAUUUUUAUACUACUAUGUUAUUGUAUAUUCAUAAUUAACCUGCUUGUACGCAUCAGAGUUUUAUUUAUCAUUUGUGACUGAUGUCAUGCGCUUAAAAUGUUUUCAGCACAUCAUUGUCGUAUUAUACCUGUGUUCAUAAUGUUUGCGAGUACAUUCAAAGUACUCACUGGCUUGUCCCUGGCUAUUGUCUUGGCCAGAUUUUCUUGCGCGGAGAGGAGCGACCAUGCCGACAGUCCCGGAACUUAAGCAACGGUGAUCGCAGCAUCGCGAAGAUAGGAGUUAGCUUGGUCAGCUGUUCCUGUGGGAAAUGGAGUCCCAUAGACACUGAUAAUUCAUAAACCGCUUCCGCCAUCAACCAUUAGAAACCAUUUGUUGUACUCACGGACCAGAAUGGUCUUGUACUACAUAUUUUGUAUUUGCUUGGAAUUUCUGUAUCAAGUCGGUACCUCAUCAGCUAACAGUUAUCCUGGGGCUGGUGAGCACAAGGGCCAUUUUCUGGAAAUUAAUACCCGGAGAAUCGGUCCCCACAACCAACUUAUAAAUGCAAUGUUCAUGGGAGGGUUGAUUCCCAAGAAGCAACUAUCAGGUGGACCAAAGUGGACUUUUGCUCAGAUUCUAGAGACAUUACCGCCAGAGGAGAACAGAAUGUUAGUCAGAGACUUGGUUACCGGCACAGUAACCAUCUCAUCAGUUUUGUUGACGAUGAGUCCAAAGGAGGGCGUAGAAUUUCUGAAUCUUCUGCAGCCCCUGCUGAUGGAAUCAUUAUUUACUGAUGGCUUCAGUAUAAGUCUGAGAGACUCCACUAUCGAAAAUCCAAUACCAGAGAUGAUUCAGCAUAAGGCACUUAACCUUGACUAGUUACGGAAACCAAUUGUGGGCUUCAUCACUUCUUCUUCUGAUAUUUGUUUGUUGGUUGAUCAAAAGAGUGAUUCUGCCAUGAACAAAGUGUGUGUUAGGCGGAAACGUCUUACCUCGACCUAAGGCGACGUGCUACGUGUUUAUAGGCAGGGGUGCACAUCCCUGAAGCGCAUACAUCGUUGAGAUAUUACAGGAGGUUUACAUCUUGCAGAAGAAGAGAUAGAAUUGGUUACAGGAGAUAGGAAGAGAACUUAAACUGAUAAUCUAUCCUAUAUCCUGCGCCUUGGACACCUUGGAGUCUCCACCCCAUGCGUGACAUGUACGUGACACAAUAUGUUGUGUUUGACACCCUCCCUUAAUCACAACUUCAUUAAGUUGAGAUUAUGUUUAAAGUCUUCAAAACUUAUGAUGGGUAGAGCCUUGGUGAAUCCAUCUGCAACCUGAUCCUUGGAAUGCACAAAACAAAUAUCAAGCUGUUUUUGAGCCACUCGCUCUCUAACAAAAUGAAAAUCAAUUUCAAUGUGUUUCAUCCUGGCAUGAAAAACAGGAUUAGCAGACAAAUAAGUUGCACCCAAAUUGUCACACCAUAAGCAUGGAGCUUGUUUGCUUUUUACACCAAGCUCCCUUAGAAGAGACUGCAUCCAUAUGAUUUCAGCUGUAGCAUUUGCUAAUGCCUUGUAUUCUGCCUCAGUACUGGACCUAGAAACAGUGGCCUGUUUCCUUGCACACCAUGAAAUCAAGUUAGGACCAAAGAACACUGCAAAUCCCCCAGUAGAACGUCUGUCAUCCAAACAACCUGCCCAGUCAGAGUCUGAGAAAGCACUAAGCAAUGUGGAUGAUGACUUGCUGAAGUUAAGACCAAUAUUAAGAGUGUUCUUGACAUAUCUAACUAUUCGCUUAGCAGCAGUCAGGUGAACAGUAGUGGGUGCAUGAAGGAAUUGACAGACUUUGUUAACAACAAAUGAUAUACCAGGUCUUGUAAGAGUAAGAUAUUGAAGUGCACCUACAAGACUUCUGUAUUUAGUGCUGUCUUCCUGGCUCAAGGCUUGUGCUUCUGUGAGAGACAAUUUUUCUGAACUGGACAAUGGAGUAGGUGAAGGUUUACAGCCUUGCAAGGCAGCCUUUCUUACUAGACCAGUUGCAUAUUUUUCUUGAGACAAGUGAAGUCCACCAUCAUGUUUCUUCACUUCUAUCCCUAGGAAAUAGUGCAGAUCUCCAAGAUCCUUAAGAGCAAACUCUACACUGAGGUCCUUCAACAAUCCUGUUAUGGCUUCAUCAGAUGAGCUUGUAACAAUAAUAUCAUCAACGUAGAUGAGAACAAAGAUAUGAGUAUUGCACUUGUUAUAAAUAAACAGUGAGGUGUCAGACUUAGAUGGAACAAAGCCAAGAGUUUGCAUCUUUUGACUGAGACGUGAAUACCACACCCUCGGAGCCUGCUUUAACCCAUAUAAAGCUUUGUCAAGUCUACACACAUGCAACGGUGCACUUUUGCUUUCAAACCCAGGAGGUUGUUUCAUGUACACUUCCUCUUCCAGAACACCAUGAAGAAAUGCAUUCUGUACGUCUAGCUGUCUGAGACUCCAGCCCCUGGACACAGCAAUGGACAAAACAAGACGAAUGGUUGCAGCUUUUACCACUGGACUAAAUGUGUCCUCAUAAUCAAUACCAUACCGUUGCUUGAAGCCUUUUGCCACAAGUCUUGCCUUGUAACGAUCAAUGGUGCCAUCAAAUUUUCUCUUGAUCCGAAACACCCAUUUGCAAUCAAUGAGAUUUUUACCUUGCUAUGGAGGGACCAAGUGCCAUGUUUUGUUUCUUUUCAGUGCCAUGUAUUCUUCAUUCAUAGCCUUCUUCCAGUUUUCAUCAGCUAGGGCUUCAUCAAGUGUGUAAGGUUCACCUGGUUCACCUGUAGAACACACCAUGCCAUAUUUCGUAAUGUGCUUAUAAUUGAUUGGUUAAAUUACUCCCUGUUGUAGCCGUGUAUGUCUCGGUGGUGGUGUAGCUUGUACUGGUGGCGCAGAAGAUCCCGUGCAGCCUGUAGGAUCAGCAGUAACUGAUCCUGAGGCGGAUCUGGGCGAAUCAGCAGCAGGUUCAGCGGCAGAAUUCGGCGGUGGAUCUUCUGUGGCAAUAGGCGACGGUGUGCAACGGCGCGGCUCCGCAGAAGAUCCCAGCGGACAGAGCUCAUCAUUGCGCCGUGAUGAGGGGCCAGCGUCCGCUGCGCCAGAGGCGGGUCCUGCACCGGUCGGCCGACGCAGAUCGCGCCGUUUGUAGCAAACGGGCUGGACCGGGAACCGGGCCCCCGAAGGACCAAUAGGACGCAGACAGGUGGCAGACACGGGCUCGCUGGCUGCGGCGCGCAUGGUGUCGCCGUUCCCACGCGCAGUCGGCGCGGACCCACGCACGGUUGUUGGCGCUGACGGCGCGGAUUCCCGAGGCAGAUCUGCCCCCCUGCCAGCAGCGCCGGAUCCCGAGGUUGAUCCGCUGGGCAGGUCUGCCGCUUUCACGGAGCUGAUCCCGAGGCUGAUUUGCUCCCUGGUUCGGGGCACAUGAAAUAUGGCCCUCGUACAUCAUUUUCUUCAUCUUUUUCUGAUCCGUUUUCUCCUGCAACAUCACACAACUCGUGCACACUGGUUUGAGGGUUAGUCUACAUAUGAUCAUCAUGGUUUCGUUCCCCUUCAUCGAGGCCAGUAAGAGAGGAUGAUAGAAGGAGGAUUUCUUUACGAAGUAAAGCACCGGCGUUGGGGUGUAGAUCAGCGAAUGGAAACUUGUUCUCAUCGAACACAACAUCGUGAGAAAUGUAGACACGGCUUGUAGAAACAUCUAGGCACUUAACCCCCUUGUGUUGUGCACUAUACCCAAGGAAAACACACUGUUUAGAUCGGAACAUGAGUUUGCGAGGGUUGUAGGGACGGAGAUUUGGCCAGCAUGCACACCCAAAGACACGUAGAGAUGUGUAGUUGGGCUUGACAUGAAGUAGCCGUUCUGUGGGAGUUUCAUUGUUUAUGACACGGCUUGGGAGCAUAUUGAUGAUAUGAACGGCAGUGAGAAACGCUUCAUCCCAAAAUUUUGGAGGCAUGGAAGCACCUGCUAGGAGUGCGAGGCCAACUCCAACUAUAUGCCUAUGCUUACGUUCGGCAGAACCGUUUUGUUGGUGAGCAUGAGGGCAUGCCACAUGGUGUGAAAUGCCAAGUGUUUGGAAAAAGGAAUUUAAUUUCUCGUAUUCCCCUCCCCAGUCAGAUUGAACAACAAUGAUCUUGCUAUCAAAAUUACGUUCAACAAGUGCUUGGAAAUUUUUGAACACUUGAAAAACUUCGGAUCUUUUCUUGAGAAGAUAGAUCCAGGAGAAUUUGCUGUAGUCAUCAAUAAAACUGACAUAGUAUGUGUGUCUACCAACAGAACUAGGAGCAGGGCCCCAAACAUCAGAAAAAAUUAAUUGCAAUGGUUGAGUAGAGACACUUGUAGAAAUAGGAUAUGGUAAUUGAUGACUUUUUGCUCUUUGGCAAGAAUCACAAAUAGUUUCAAUAUUUCUCACCAACAAACGGGAGCUUAUUUUUCCUAAGCAAACGUUCAACAAGAGGAAAAGCAUGGCCUAAACGAUCGUGCCAACGUGUUGACGAGAGUUUGACAACACCAUAGGCUUGUUUAUUGAAUCUCCUAAGCUCCGGAAUCAACGGGUAAAGCCCUCGGAUGCAUCUACCUCGAUAUAGUACCUUCUUUGUGGCCUGAUCCUUUAUCAAAAAGAAAAAAGGAUGGAAUUCAAUAAAGACAUUAUUGUCAAUGGUAAUGCGAUGAAGGGAUAGCAGAUUUUUGUUGGCACUAGGAACAUGCAAGAUUUUCCGAAGAUGAAUUUUACGAGAAGGGGUACGUAUAACCAAGUGACCAAUGUGAUGUAUGCUCAUACCUGCACCACUGGCGGUGUGAAUCUGGUCCUCCCGUGAUACUUCUCACGGAGGGUCACCUUCUCUAGCUCACCCGUGAGGUGAUUGUUCGCGCCACUGUCAAGGUACCAGUUGGUGUCGACGCCAUAGGAUCCUUCAGCGGCGGCGGCAACCUUGUCAUCAUCUUCAGAGGAGGCAUCGUCUUCGUCGAAACGAUACCAACAGUCUUUGGUGGUGUGGCCUGGCUUCCCGCAGAUUUGGCAGCAAACGGCAUCAGGACGUGAACGACCCGAGCCGCCGCGGUUAGGGCUGGGCGUUCGGUUCCCCGAACCGAUCGGGUCGGUCCCUCGGUCAAUCCAAAAUUUCGGUUUUGACAAAGCACAGACCGAUCGGUCAGUAGAAUAUUAGCUAACCGAUGAUUCUCUGCACCGAAAUUUCGGUUCGGUCGUCGGUUCUACUGAACAACACCGAGUAAAUAACAGACGGAAUCACUGCCUCUAUGAAUGUACAGUACAGUACUAGCAGCAAGACCAUCUAUACUUUUAUUUUGAUGUACAGUGCUUGUAGGUCUGCGUACUAGCUACUACUAGUAGCCACUGCUAUUAUUGAUUCUCCCGAGCAAAACUUUACUCUAUAAAAUUAGCGGUGCCGGCUCCUUUAGUCUACUACCCCAGAGAAGUACUACUAGUACUUUGUCUUUUACACAAAAUAUAUAGCGACGGUGGUUCACUGUGGUACUACUCAGGUUCGCCUCUUCUCGAUGCGGCCGUUGGACUCAGUGCACACGAGAAGUGGAAGAGCACUUGAGUAUAGCAACGGACGCGCAGGUCGGACCCCUGUGUUUUCUCGGGUUUCGGUCUAUUCGGUUACCCUAGCAAUAAACCCGAAUUCACCGGACUAAAUUCGGUUUUCCUCAAAUGGAAACCGGACAUACAACCGAAGUUCUCGGUUUCGGUGAAUUCGGCUUCUGUGCCGGUUAAUUCGGUUCGGGACAUCGGUUUUCGGUGACCCAUGUUGUUGGUGGAGAUGGGGCGACCGCCGCGAGAGCCGCCGUUGUUGGUGUUGCCGCUACUGUGCUUGCCCUUGGCGCGAGGACGACCGCGGUGACGUGAGGAGUAGCCACCACGCCCGUGAGUUGCUGCGUUUGGCGACGACUUGAAGCCGCCGCCAAUGAUGUGGUACUGGGCGACGCGUUGGUCGAAGUUGCUCAACAUGGAGUAGAGCUCAUCGAGGGACACCAGCGUGAUGCGAGCAUACAGGGCCGAGACGAGUGGCUGGUAGUCCAUAUCCAGCCCGUGAAGAAGAUAUGAGAUCAGCUCAUCAUCCUGGAUGGGCUUGCCGGCGGUGGCGAGCUCAUCAGCAAGGCCACACAUGGCGGCGAAGUAGGCGGCCACCAAUUGGUUCCCUUUCUGCGCAUUGAUCAAGGCAGUACGGAUGUUGUUGACGCGGCUCAAGGACUGCGACGAGAACAUACCUGCGAGCGCUGUCCACAGAGCAUGCGCGGUGGUGACCGCGGUGACCGCGACGAGCACCUCUUUUGUGAGGUUGUUGAGCAGGUAGCCCAGAACCUGCUGGUCCUCCCUCACCCAGAUGGGAUGGAGAGGGUUGAGCUCGGUCGACUCCUUCCCCUCCUUGUCCUUGGUGACGAGAAGGCGGGGCGGCUCCGUCAGGGUGCCGUCGACGUAGCCAUAGAGGCCGGCUCCCCUCAACUGCGGCGAGAUUUGGGUACGCCACAGGACGUAGUUCGUCCGGGAGAGCUUCUCCGUGACCUGACCGCUUAGGUUGGAUUGGGUGGCACUGAAGGAAGACAUGGCUGGCACUAGAGGAGAUCAAGAGCUAGGGUUUGGAAGAGGAGGCUCUGAUACCAUGUGCGUUAGGUGGAAACAUCUUACCUCGACCUAAGGCAACGUGCUACAUGUUUAUAGGCAGGGACGCACAUCCCUGAAGCGCAUACAUCGUUGAGAUAUUACAGGAGGUUUACAUCUUGCAGAAGAAGAGAUAGAAUUGGUUACAGGAGAUAGGAAGAGAACUUAAACUGAUAAUCUAUCCUAUAUCCCGCGCCUUGGACACCUUGGAGUCUCCACCCCAUGCGUGACAUGUACGUGACACAAUAUGUUGUGUUUGACACAAAGUAGUGGAGCAGAUUGGUUUCUUGGGAACUCAGCUGCAGUGCAACGGAAGAUUAUACUCUAGCAGCUUAGUGAAGGAUUGCCUAUCCAAGUCACUGAGCAAAUGUGGCAGCAGCAGCAACGGUGGCCAUCCUUUGGAGGCACAUGGUUUUAUCAGAAGCUCAUUUUACAAGGGACUGAACCCAUAUGAGGACCUACUCCAUUCAAUAUCUCAAAGGGAGAAGAUAAUACGCGCAUCUAAAGGACUAGUGGAGCCGGGCACUCUCUUCAAGGACAUGAUGGCAAUGCUCCGAGAUGUUGUAGCAUGUUAUGAUGGAACCAUAAGAAACUCGUGUGGAAAUUCAGUUGUUGAGUUUGACUCGACAAACUCAUCGAGUUCUGUGACACCAGGAGAUCCUGUUUGUAUAUUGGCAGUCACUGCAGUUGCAAAUGUUGCAUACAAGGCGGUGUUAGAUCCAAAUCAGAACAACAUGACCUCCUGGGACUCAAUGAAGGUAAGAGGCUCAAUUGAACAGUUCCAUCUGAGACUUCAGUUCACACAUUUUGACUUCUGAUCUUUGAAUUUACAGAAAGUGCUACUUACAAGAGCUACCUCUCGAAAUGAAAAUGACCAAAAAAACAAUUUUGUAUCUGAGUAAAUGCUUUUGUGGGAAUUAUUGUUGCAAAGAAAGAGCAUCACUCGCAGUUCAAGCCUGCUUAAAGAGGACCAAAGUAGAAGACUGUGCUACUCAGUUCUCAGUCCAGUAUGUAGCAUUCAUAAGUAACUACUUCUUACACAUUUCAGUUUAUAUGGUGAAAGGCUCAGAAUUAUUAUGUUGUUUCAGGUAUCAACACCAAAAUAUGGAAGCAACACAUUGUCUUGUUGGCCAUAUUCACCUUGACGAGGUAUUUUCCCCUACUUCUCAAAUAUUAUCAUUGUUUCAACAAUAUAUCAUCAAGAUUCUAUGUUGAAGAAAUAAUUGUGUGCCUGUACAGAAGCAACUGGAUGAAUUAACAUAAGUAUGGAAGAUAUUCCUCAGAAAUGCCAGGAAGCUAUUUGUAAACAUGGAAAGAAAAAGGGGCAAGAGUAUCAAGUUCUGAAGAGAAUUGUACUGAGUUCAAGGUGAUUUGGUCUUUUUUGGUUUUGAACCUUCAAAUAGCAUGGGAGACUCAUAUUUCAAUUAGUUUAAAGAAUAUUCCAAAAAUUAUAUUUGGAUUUACUAUUCAUAUUGUCUAAGAUUUGAGUUAUUUUUCUAGUGACUUAAGUUGAAUAAUGUCUUCCAAUGGGUAUUUAUGCAUUUGGGACUUCCAACCAUGCUAUAGUGAAAAAAUCAAGCAUGAAUUUUAAAUAAUCUAUGACUUCUUAACAUAACCUGACAUUUCUUUUUUGCAGUGAAUGUAAGUGCUACCAGGAUGUAUAUGGUGAGAAACACUUUGAGAUCUCCUGCUUGCAGCUUUUCCUAACUGAAAGUGUCACCACACAAAUAUCUGAAUCUUCCGCGCGAGUUGUCCAGUUCAUGGUCAAUACCAUUUCUCCUAUACUCUUGGACACGAUCAUAAAAGGUAAACCAAGAAUUCACAUUCAUACUAGCUAUCAUGCAUAUAGAAAAUCCAGAUGAAUAUGCUGAUAGUUACGGCUUAUGCAAUUCUGCUUACUAAAAGAGACAUUCUUGCAUCUUCUCCCAGGUGAUCCACGGUUCCAGGAGGUGAACAUGAUAUGGGUUGAACCGCAAGCCACAUGUUGGGUCCAGAACUCCGGUACAGAACAGAAGGGUGAAUUGCGCUGGUAAUCACUGUGGAUAAAGCCUCAAUUGGAGAGAGUGGUGAUGCAUGGGGAACAGCAAUGGAUGCAUGCAUUCCUGUGAUGGAUCUGAUCGACACUACCAGGUCUGUGCCCUACAGCAUCCAACAAGUUCAGCAAGUAAUUGGAAUUUCAUCCGCCUUCGGUCGAGUCGCACAGGUCCAGUAACUUCUUUCCCUUUUACAUUUCUCAUGAAUUCAGUAGCUUCUAUUACAGCAUUACUCACGUUCUGUUUUUUUUUCCUUUAUCCUUUCGACCAUCCUUGCAGCACCUUUCAAAGGCAGUUGGAAUGGUUACAAAAUCAGUUCUCAAAGAACACAUGACAAUCGUUGCAAGCAGUAUGACCUGCACAGGUAAGUUGCAUGGUUACAGGGCCACAUUCCAGUCCCUCAAGAUUCAGGCACCCUUCAUGAAGGCUACACUCUCUGUAAGUCCUCAAUUUGGCUUUGUUUUGAACUCCUCAUUUUGAUGGGCAAGUGUUGAUGAUGACUAAAAAAAUGAGAGAAACAUGUUGCAGAGGCCAAUGCAAUGCUUCAAGGAGGGUGCCAAGAAGGUCUACUAUGAUCAGCUGGAUAGCGUUGUGUCCACCUGCGCUUGGGGCAUUCCUGCACCAAUUGGGACUGGUUCAGCCUUCAAAAUCCACUGGAAUGAUGAGAACAUGGUACAACGAACAUUUUACUUGCAUAUGUUCUCUCAUCUGCGCAGCACAUAGUUAUGUUCUCCCUUCUCCUAUGAACCUCUUGAUCUUUUACAGUCAGCGGGCAGUGGGGACCUUGGAGGAUGUGGUUUAUAUGAAUUCCUCACAGCAGUAGAAACAACAAGAGGCACUGAAGAUAACAUGAUUAUGUGCAUCGCCCUGAUGCAAAGGCUGGGGUUUAUCCUCCUUUUCGACCAAAAAAAAAA
Molecule: long non-coding RNA, 37598 nt
Filed under: Triticum aestivum (bread wheat)
Lineage: Eukaryota; Viridiplantae; Streptophyta; Magnoliopsida; Poales; Poaceae
Description: long non-coding RNA (TAES_LNC011466)
Source: RNAcentral